UAUCGCGAUAGGCCUGUAGCUCGAUGGGU
Molecule: non-coding RNA, 29 nt
Filed under: Bombyx mori (domestic silkworm)
Lineage: Eukaryota; Metazoa; Arthropoda; Insecta; Lepidoptera; Bombycidae
Source: RNAcentral